This 243-nucleotide ribosomal RNA is filed under the name Triticum aestivum (bread wheat). RNAcentral describes it as "partial small subunit ribosomal RNA". Lineage: Eukaryota; Viridiplantae; Streptophyta; Magnoliopsida; Poales; Poaceae. The record is from RNAcentral.
AUGAAGUUUAAUUCCACAAAAGAGGCUUGGAACUUUUGGACAUGUUAUGGAGGUCAUACUGGUUUUGAUGUAAGGGUAAAUUAUGAAAACAAGAGCAAACUUGAUGGAGUAAUCACUUCUGCAAGAUAUGUUUGUUCUAAUGAAGGCUACAUAAGAAAAGACAAAAGGGAUAAUAAUACAAAGCGUCCUCGUGCAGAAACAAGGACCGGCUGCAAUGUUCGAAUGGGAAUCACUAUAGACUGA